Molecule: long non-coding RNA, 2147 nt
Organism: Lolium rigidum
Lineage: Eukaryota; Viridiplantae; Streptophyta; Magnoliopsida; Poales; Poaceae
Exons: 5
Source: RefSeq, a predicted model, not a curated record
ACCGGCCACCGCACCGCUCUCCCGCGUCUCCUCUCCCCUGUUUAGUUCCCCUGCUCUCUCCCCCAAGCCUCCAUCCACGGAAAUGUAGACUCUUUAUCCCUCGAUUCCGGUGGCCCAGCGUACUCCGGGGGCUCAGCAGCAGCAGAUCGAGGUCGAAAUAGCGGCGCUGGUAGUGAGGAGGCUCGGCGACCGGUCAGCCCUCUUCCUUCCCACGGUAGCGGCGCCUCCUUCCUCUUGGUCCCCACGCCCGCCAGUGCCAGCGACUUGGAGGUCAAAGCUCGCACUUUUAUGGGCCGGAGCAGCACAACCAUGACCAGCUUCAGGCUUAGCACCGUAUCAUAUCAAAUCUCACCUGCCCAGGGAGCAGGGAGCAGAAGGGAGCCGGCCUUCUUCCGGCCGCUGUGGUCGAAGCUAUCGACAAAUCUCACCAUAUUCCAUUCUUUCUCUCACGGCGGCGCGCGGUGAUGCCCUCCAAGACGAAGCUCUGCUCCCACGACGUCACCACCUGCAUGUCCUACACGUUCACCGGCAGCAGCAUGGGGGGCCUUACUGUCGCGUCGUCACCACCUCCCGAGUGAGACGCGUAUCCACCUCCCCCUCGGAUUGAUCGUGGGGUGCAGCAGGAAGAGGAAGGGGAGGUGGUUGCCACAAGCCCACAACAGGCACGGAAGGCAAUACAGAUUCCACCUCCAGCAUUAUCCAGCAGCUGCAUAUCUCCAGUUUUGCCUGGCAUUCUCCCUGUCGAACUCACCAAGGAAUAUAUAUCAUUCUGUGGCAUUUCAUGUUGAGGAUGCCCGAGAGGCUCCAGAACUAGCUUCAGUUGGUAUUCUAUGAGGAUUGAAGAAAAUACAAGAACCAGGUAGUGUAUUUACACUUUACGAACAUGUCAAAGGUGUUGUUAAAGGCUUAAUUUAAUAAGAAGUUAUGUCAGCCUGGGUAAUUCAUUGUCCAUAAGCCUAUCAAUGCAGCAGGUUACAUGAUCAAUUCACAAGAUUAAAUUAUAGUUUACCUCACGGUAUAACAUUGUCUUCCUGCAUAAUAACAGAGCUUCUGAUUUAUAUGAUAUUUUAUUGUGUACAUGAUCUUUAUGCUGUUUUGAGGAGAAAGAUGGAUGACCGAGAUGAUUUUUAGCGACCAGGUUUGCCUUCCAGGGCAUCCGUGGUCACGAUGAUGGAGGCGGCUAGCAGGUUUCCUCAGUCUGGUCGAAUAGUGCUUUCCUUGACGAUUGUUAGUUGUUGUUUUUUUCGAGGGAACACUUUCUAUUACUCCCUUCGAUCCAGAAUAAGUGUCAUAACUUUAGUUCAAAUUUAGAUUAGUUGAACUAAAGUUCCAUCACUUAUUAUGGAUCGGAGGGAGUACAUUGUUUAGUCAUUAAUAAGUAGCGCUCUCCGCACUUUUCAUGAAUGAUUUUUAAAUGGGAAUCUAAUGAUAUAUUUGAUGUAAAAUGGUUGGUGAGAUUUUUUAUCCGAAAGAUGUUGUAGAAAAAUAUGUAGUGGGUACGCAUGUUUCUCCUUUCUUGAAAUUUAGCAAAAAAUCUCAAUUAAAUAAUAUUUUUUGGUUGAGAUUUGCAUUUAGUAAUCGCAAUACUCAUUAUGUAGAUUCAUGAUGAGGUUUGUGAGUCACAUAAUUAACCAUUAGACAUUAUUGUUAGUGUUAAUGGAUGCAGAUUGAUCGUACGUUGCAACUGCUCUUCGGUGAGGAUCCUAAAAUCUCGUGGCUAUGCCUACAAGGGUGUGGUGUUAAUGGAUGCAGAUUGAUCGUACGUUGCAACGGCGAGGAUCCUAAAAUCUCGUGGCUAUGCCUACAAGGGUGUGGGGUGUUAAAGGUCGUAGUUCGAUGGUUGGGCGCCGGUGAAAUUGUGUCUCCAUGUUGACGUUUGGGAGUAUGUUACCACACUUUCUGUUUCACCUUCAUCAUGAGCGUUUCACUAGAAGGAAAGCUGCAGGUAGAAAGUUAGCCUACAUGUUUUAGGUGUUCGUUGUAUAGUGAACUUCCACUUGCCUAAAACUGUGUCGGCGAGUGUGUCAUUUCGUGCAGGACAUUUCUCCUUGGUUUUUGGGGACAUAGGGAGGUUGUGCUGGCUUCCCAGAAUAUUUCAUGUCCCGUGCAAUUAAGUCACCAGAGAUCAUUUAGUGAAGUGGUGCGAA